Molecule: non-coding RNA, 25 nt
Filed under: Mus musculus (house mouse)
Lineage: Eukaryota; Metazoa; Chordata; Mammalia; Rodentia; Muridae
Source: RNAcentral
UCUUAGAUGAUGGAGAGACAGCCAA